UGAGGAAUAUUGGUCAAUGGGCGAGAGCCUGAACCAGCCAAGUAGCGUGCAGGAUGACGGCCCUAUGGGUUGUAAACUGCUUUUAUAUGGGAAUAAAGUGAGGGACGUGUCCCUUAUUGCAUGUACCAUACGAAUAAGGACCGGCUAAUUCCGUGCCAGCAGCCGCGGUAAUACGGAAGGUCCAGGCGUUAUCCGGAUUUAUUGGGUUUAAAGGGAGCGUAGGCUGUUUGUUAAGCGUGUUGUGAAAUGUAGGAGCUCAACUUUUAGAUUGCAGCGCGAACUGGCAGACUUGAGUGCGCACAACGUAGGCGGAAUUCAUGGUGUAGCGGUGAAAUGCUUAGAUAUCAUGACGAACACCGAUUGCGAAGGCAGCUUACGGGAGCGCAACUGACGCUAAAGCUCGAAGGUGCGGGUAUCGAACAGG
This 424-nucleotide ribosomal RNA is filed under the name Verrucomicrobiota bacterium. RNAcentral describes it as "Verrucomicrobia bacterium partial 16S ribosomal RNA". It matches the Rfam family "Bacterial small subunit ribosomal RNA", at positions 355 to 776 of the family's 1533-position model. Lineage: Bacteria; Pseudomonadati; Verrucomicrobiota. The record is from RNAcentral.